RNAcentral lists this ribosomal RNA (207 nucleotides) under uncultured Lachnospiraceae bacterium. RNAcentral's name for it is "partial 16S ribosomal RNA". It matches the Rfam family "Bacterial small subunit ribosomal RNA", at positions 568 to 774 of the family's 1533-position model. The record is from RNAcentral. Lineage: Bacteria; Bacillati; Bacillota; Clostridia; Lachnospirales; Lachnospiraceae.
AGCGUAGACGGUUUGGCAAGUCUGAAGUGAAAGCCCGGGGCUCAACCCCGGGACUGCUUUGGAAACUGUCAAACUAGAGUGCAGGAGAGGUAAGCGGAAUUCCUAGUGUAGCGGUGAAAUGCGUAGAUAUUAGGAGGAACACCAGUGGCGAAGGCGGCUUACUGGACUGUAACUGACGUUGAGGCUCGAAAGCGUGGGGAGCAAACA